GACGAACGCUGGCGGCGUGCUUAACACAUGCAAGUCGAACGGAAAGGCCCCCUUGUGGGGUACUCGAGUGGCGAACGGGUGGGUAACACGUGAGUAACCUACCCUUGACUUUGGGAUAACUUCAGGAAACUGGGGCUAAUACCGGAUAGGAGCUCCUGCUGCAUGGUGGGGGUUGGAAAGUUUCGGCGGUUGGGGAUGGACUGGCGGCUUAUCAGCUUGUUGGUGGGGUAGUGGCUCACCAAGGCUUUGACGGGUGGGCGGCCUGUGAGGGGGACCGGCCACAUUGGGACUGAGAUACGGACCAGACUCCUACGGGAGGCAGCAGUGGGGAAUAUUGCACAAUGGGCGGAAGCCUGAUGCAGCAACGCCGCGUGCGGGAUGACGGCCUUCGGGUUGUAAACCGCUUUCGCCUGUGACGAAGCGUGAGUGACGGUAAUGGGUAAAGAAGCACCGGCUAACUACGUG
This 465-nucleotide ribosomal RNA is filed under the name uncultured bacterium. Its description in RNAcentral is "partial 16S ribosomal RNA". It matches the Rfam family "Bacterial small subunit ribosomal RNA", at positions 28 to 507 of the family's 1533-position model. The record is from RNAcentral.